RNAcentral lists this ribosomal RNA (429 nucleotides) under Acidobacteriota bacterium. Its description in RNAcentral is "Acidobacteria bacterium partial 16S ribosomal RNA". It matches the Rfam family "Bacterial small subunit ribosomal RNA", at positions 355 to 776 of the family's 1533-position model. Lineage: Bacteria; Pseudomonadati; Acidobacteriota. The record is from RNAcentral.
UGGGGAAUUUUGGACAAUGGGGGAAACCCUGAUCCAGCCAUCCCGCGUGUGCGAUGAAGGCCUUCGGGUUGUAAAGCACUUUUGGCAGGAAAGAAACGUCAUGGGUUAAUACCCCGUGAAACUGACGGUACCUGCAGAAUAAGCACCGGCUAACUACGUGCCAGCAGCCGCGGUAAUACGUAGGGUGCAAGUGUUAAUCGGAAUUACUGGGCGUAAAGCGUGCGCAGGCGGUUCGGAAAGAAAGAUGUGAAAUCCCAGAGCUCAACUUGGGAACUGCAUUUUUAACUACCGGGCUAGAGUGUGGCAGAGGGAGGUGGAAUUCCGCGUGUAGCAGUGAAAUGCGUAGAUAUGCGGAGGAACACCGAUGGAGAAGGCAGCCUCCUGGGAUAACACUGACGCUCAUGCAAGAAAGCGUGGGGAGCAAACAGG